GAUGAACGCUAGCGGCAGGCCUAACACAUGCAAGUCGAGGGGCAGCACGGAUUGCCUGCAAUCUGGUGGCGACCGGCGCACGGGUGCGUAACGCGUAUACAACCUACCUUUUUGAGGGGAAUAGCCCAGAGAAAUUUGGAUUAAUACCCCAUAGUAUAUAGGAAUCUCCUGAUUUUUAUAUUAAACAUUUAUGGCCAUUAGAUGGGUAUGGGUCCUAUUAGCUAGUUGGUGUGGUAACGGCACACCAAGGCUACGAUAGGUAGUGGUCCUGAGAGGGAGAUCCCCCAUACUGGUACUGAGACACGGACCAGACUCCUACGGGAGGCAGCAGUGAGGAAUAUUGGACAAUGGGCGAGAGCCUGAUCCAGCCAUGCCGCGUGCAGGAAGACUGCCCUAUGGGUUGUAAACUGCUUUUACAGAGGAAGAACCACCCCCACGUGUGGGGGUUUGACGGUACUCUGCGAAUAAGGAUCGGCUAACUCCGUGCCAGCCGCCGCGGUAA
This 502-nucleotide ribosomal RNA is filed under the name uncultured bacterium. Its description in RNAcentral is "partial 16S ribosomal RNA". It matches the Rfam family "Bacterial small subunit ribosomal RNA", at positions 28 to 523 of the family's 1533-position model. The record is from RNAcentral.